UACAGAGGUCCCAAGCGUUGUUCGGAUUCACUGGGCGUAAAGGGUGCGUAGGUGGUGAGGUAAGUCGGAUGUGAAAGCUCGGAGCUCAACUCCGAAAUGGCAUUGGAAACUACCUUGCUCGAGGGUUGGAGGGGGGACUGGAAUGCUUGGUGUAGCAGUGAAAUGCGUAGAUAUCAGGAGGAACACCGAUGGCGAAGGCAGGUCUCUGGGCUGACACUGACGCUCAUGCACGAAAGCGUGGGGAGCAGACAGG
RNAcentral lists this ribosomal RNA (253 nucleotides) under uncultured bacterium. RNAcentral describes it as "partial 16S ribosomal RNA". It matches the Rfam family "Bacterial small subunit ribosomal RNA", at positions 524 to 776 of the family's 1533-position model. The record is from RNAcentral.